RNAcentral lists this ribosomal RNA (543 nucleotides) under Triticum aestivum (bread wheat). RNAcentral describes it as "partial small subunit ribosomal RNA". The record is from RNAcentral. Lineage: Eukaryota; Viridiplantae; Streptophyta; Magnoliopsida; Poales; Poaceae.
AUGCGCCACUUGUUAUUCUUCUUCAAAACCAAAACUGGGUUGGCAAGCCAUUCUGGAAAGAACACUUCCAUGAUGAAGCCGGCUGCAAGGAGCCGGGCUAUCUCUUCUCCCACGAUUCUUCGCUUCUCUUCUGAUAGUCGGCGGAGGGGUUGCUUGACCGGCUUCGCAUCAGCUCGGACAUGUAAUUUGUGCUCGGUGAAAUCCUUCGGGACACCCGGCAUGUCCUUUGGGGACCACGCAAAGAUGUCUCGAUUCUCACGGAGGAAGUCGGCGAGCUCGCCUUCCUAUUUACUGUCCAAGUUCGCCCCAAUCACGGCGAACCUCUCCGGGUGCUCCGGGUGCUCCGGAUCUAGAGGUAUCUUCUUCGUCUCUUUGGCAGGCUGGAAGGAGCCCUGCGCAUCACAGUCCUUGGGGUUGGGGGACAAGGCCGGCUGCUUGCCGGCCAUGGCCACAACCCGUUCCAACAUCUUCUUCUCUUCUGCCACCACGAGGGACUCGGCCAGCCGGCUGCUGGCCAUGGCACACUCGAUGGACUUCUUGUAA